Molecule: long non-coding RNA, 1354 nt
Organism: Esox lucius (northern pike)
Lineage: Eukaryota; Metazoa; Chordata; Actinopteri; Esociformes; Esocidae
Source: Ensembl
GGUGAUGGACAUUGCCAAGCUGAUGAAGGCGUACAUCAGUAUGAUUGUAAAGAAACGCUACAGCAACUCUCAAUCGGUCAGCAGCCACGGCAGCCAAUGCAGCGCCUGGUAAAAAGCUGUCAGUGACCUUUGGCCUUUCACCUCUCCGCAGACACCAGGGGAAUUGGACCCCAAGCCACACAAGCUAGUCGGGCCAGGCUGACUUUCUCAUGCCUCUGGUGGCCAGCAAGCUUUGUCUUUCUUAUGCUGAGAUGCUGUUAUGCUUACAGUACAAGGGCUCUUGUUACAGGACCAGACUAUCCAUUAAGGGUUACUGUGGCGGUUCCUAUGGUCCAAUUCGUUUGAAGAGUCGGGGCAUAGACAAUGAGAAUGUAAAAGGACUUCAGUAGAAGUUAUCCCUGAUCACAGAUUCCGGAUCAGAUCACGGAAGCCUUUAGUCCCUAACUUUAAACAGUUGGGGAAACUUCUACUGACUGUUCAGUGUCAUGUUUAUUAACUUCUGGUGGAUCUCAGUUGGACAGCCACUCCUUUCGAUUCUUAAUCAUCACUGGUAUUAUUGAGAAAUGUAAAUAUUCAACUCAGUACUCAAACUAUUUUCAAGUAACGGUUCUGAAACAUGGUUAUUGAUGGAAAGGGAAACAUGUCAGUGGUGUUAAGUGUGAGGGGGGAAAAAAACAUUGCCUGAAAUAAACCUUUAAUUGACAGCUUGGUCCAAAAUAAUCACGUCUACUUUAAUAUUACCGGAUGAAAAACACAUAGCAGUACAAACUCAAAGAUCUCCACCUUGGGCCAUGCUUGUCUGAAUACUAUAGCUUCUGGAAGAUACUUAAAUACACCCUCUACCAGCAACAUAAUGUUCUCGUCAGGUUGCUUGGAUAUUAAAAUGUCACCGCACAACAUUUCACUAGAACUCCGCGGGCGGAGGCUCCAUCCAAAGAUAUGCAGAAUCCUUGCUCAGUGCCUUGUAUAUUAUGUACACGUGUUUCCUUUUCCAUACAUGUCGUUUCUUAUAUGAUCAUGUGCAAUGUUAUAUAAAUAUAUAUUAUAAUCAUACAGUUGUAUAUUUGAUAAAUCUUUGCCUUUUUUUUGGACAGAAUUAUGACCACAACAGAAAGCAAUAUUCACAAGAGAUACCUUGUUAUCUUUCUCCCCGUGUCGAUUUCAAUGGCUUACCGUUCAAGUAUAACAGCUGUAUACAAUAUCGGUCUCGAUGUAUCCUGUUUUUUCAUAUGUAUUAGCUGUGUUAUGUAUCAAAAAGGAUGUUUCUAUCAAUAAAUGUCUGCUUAUUUACACAGGUGUUUCUGGGUUUUUCGUUAUUUGAUAUUUUGUUUUUUCUGUAUUUUAUUCAGAAUCG